UACAGAGGAGCCAAGCGUUGUCCGGAUUGACUGGGCGUAAAGCGCACGCAGGCGGAUGCGCGCGUGGGGUGUGAAAUCUGGCCGCUUAACGGCCAGGCGCCAUCCCAUACGGCGCGUCUGGAGUGAUGCAGAGGUCGAUGGAAUUGCCGGUGUAGUGGUGAAAUGCGUAGAUAUCUGGAGGAACACCGGUGGCGAAGGCGGCGUCCUGGACCAACACUGACACUGAGGAGCGAAAGCCAGGGGAGCAAACGGG
Molecule: ribosomal RNA, 253 nt
Filed under: uncultured bacterium
Lineage: Bacteria
Description: partial 16S ribosomal RNA
Rfam family: Bacterial small subunit ribosomal RNA
Source: RNAcentral